Molecule: long non-coding RNA, 689 nt
Organism: Fukomys damarensis (Damara mole-rat)
Lineage: Eukaryota; Metazoa; Chordata; Mammalia; Rodentia; Bathyergidae
Exons: 4
Source: RefSeq, a predicted model, not a curated record
CUUUGUUUCCCUGCUGCCCUGAACUAAGCAGCUUUGCUCUGCUGUGCUCUUCUGCCAUGACCUUCCUGCCCUGGAGCCGGCCAGCCACGGACUGAGUCUUCUGCAAGCGUACACAACAUUUCUUCAUGACAGGAAAAUAGUGUGGAUAUUUUAAGAAUUGAGACGGCUUGAACCACUGGAAGGACAUGAUAACAGAAGUAUUUACAAAAUCUCAUUCUGAACAUUCUUUAUGAGUGAGUGGUCUUUUUCACAAAACAUACUUUUUAUCACAAAUCAUCUGGAUUUAAUUUUCUAUCAUUUGCUAACCUGGUUCUACUUGAAAGGCAGCAAUAAAAACAAUGGGGUAAAUUCUACACAAUGCAGAGUGGGACUCUUUUGUCAAGAAGCCAAACAAGGACAGCUGGAUAAAACCCCACCCAGUAAAGGCUUUAUUGGAAGGCUUCAUAACUGCCUUCCUGCUACUUAGCAAAAGAGAGUAAGGGACCAAGUAUCUGAGGAGAAACAGCACUAUACAAAAGACUGAAGCUGUUGGUGGAUCUGAAUUGUGAGCAGCAACACAACACUCACUCCAAAGAACAGAGGGCCCUGGAGAACGGAAGAUACCCCAGCCACAGCAAGAAUUUGAGAGUAUGCUGGCCUGGCUGGAGUCUCCAUCUGGUACUGACACCCACUGGGAUCCUAGUAGCAAG